Caenorhabditis brenneri is the source of this 72-nucleotide non-coding RNA. The record is from the annotation of a GenBank genome assembly. NCBI's taxonomy places the organism in Eukaryota, Metazoa, Nematoda, Chromadorea, Rhabditida, Rhabditidae.
GCCUGCGUGGUGUAGUGGCUAACGCCGUUGUUUUAUAAUUUCUCGACCCGGGUUCGAAUCCUUGUGGGGGCA